UCCUUUCCAAUCAAUGAGGUAUAACAAUCUCAUUGACUGGAAGGGAUUCCUUCUGGUCAAUGGGAUGUAACAGCCUCAUCAAUCGGAAGGAAUCCCUUCCGAUUGAUGAGGUUUUUAUACCUCAUUGAUUGGAAGGGA
Molecule: microRNA precursor, 138 nt
Filed under: Puccinia graminis f. sp. tritici CRL 75-36-700-3
Lineage: Eukaryota; Fungi; Basidiomycota; Pucciniomycetes; Pucciniales; Pucciniaceae
Description: microRNA MIR807
Source: RNAcentral